UUUCUGCGAAUUGUUUUGGCAAAUUGUUUAUUCCUCUAAAAAAUAGUAGGUAUAGCACUGAAUAUCUCGAGGGAGUAUGAAAAUAUUUAUCUCAGAUAUUUAAUCUCAAAAUAACUAUUUCUUAAAAUAAAUAAUCAGACUAUGUGCGAUAAGGUAGAUAGUCGAAAGGGAAACAGCCCAGAACAGUAAUUAAAGCUCCCCAAUUAAUAUUAAGUGAA
RNAcentral lists this ribosomal RNA (218 nucleotides) under Pneumocystis jirovecii. RNAcentral's name for it is "partial large subunit ribosomal RNA". It matches the Rfam family "Bacterial large subunit ribosomal RNA", at positions 854 to 1067 of the family's 2925-position model. Lineage: Eukaryota; Fungi; Ascomycota; Pneumocystomycetes; Pneumocystales; Pneumocystaceae. The record is from RNAcentral.